GUUAAAUUUUUUAACUCUCCAAAUUCUUAAAAAAAAAAAAAAAAAAAAAAAAAUUGAAAACUGUGAGAGAAAGAGUUAUGUUAUACAGGAGUUGUGUGUUUAAGCUGUCAAAUUAACUACAGAUUUGUGUCAUUUUCCUAUUUUGCCCACAAUUAUUGAAGUCCUUUUAAAUACUAGAAAAAAGAUACUUUAAACAGAAAGGGCCGUAUUCUUAAAAGAAAGAAAAAUCAUUUUUGGCAUCACAUAUUUUUAUAUAAUUAUCCUCAGUAAUUUUAUUUAAUAAUAUAAUGCAUUUAAUUCAAAUAUAUAUAUAUAUCGUUUUGAGCCUCACAUUUUCUCGUAUAUAAUUAUUCUCAUGUAAUUCUCAUUAAUUUUAUUUCUAUAUUUAAUUUAUGUGUUUCAGUGGUGGAUACAAAUAGUUGCAGAAAAAAAGGUCACUGGUCUUUAGCACCUCUUAGCACAGAUUGGGCAUCUACACCUAUUGGUCAUGUUUUUCAUCCAGUAGACAUCACAAAGAAAGACGAACCCACACAUGAAGGUGAAACCAGUUCUGCAGAAAACA
Parasteatoda tepidariorum (common house spider) is the source of this 562-nucleotide long non-coding RNA. Lineage: Eukaryota; Metazoa; Arthropoda; Arachnida; Araneae; Theridiidae. The record is from RefSeq and is a predicted model, not a curated record.